RNAcentral lists this long non-coding RNA (1780 nucleotides) under Homo sapiens (human). RNAcentral describes it as "HSALNT0210273". Lineage: Eukaryota; Metazoa; Chordata; Mammalia; Primates; Hominidae. The record is from RNAcentral.
GGUCAGGAGUUUGAGACCAGCCUGGCCAACGUGACAAAACCCCAUCUCUACUAAAAAUACAAAAUUUAGCUGGCCAUGGUGGCGCAUGCCUGUAGUCCCAGCUCGGGAGGCUGAAGCAGGAGAAUGGCGUGAACCUGGGAGGUGGAGGUUGCAGUGAGCCGAGAUCGCACCACUGCAUUCCAGCCUAGGUGACAGAGCAAGACUCUGUCUCAAAAAAAAAAAAAAAAAAAAAAAAAUCCUAGCUGUCUGACACUAGACAGGGGACUAAGCUUGUCUAAAGACUCAGCCUCCAUAUCUGUAGUGGAAGAUUAAUAACAGCGUCUACGUCAAAGAGUUGAUAUAAGGAUAAAAUGCAAAAAUCCAUUUAAUGCAUUUAGCAUAGAGCCUGUCACACAGUAAGAACUUAAUAAAUAUUGGGAUUAUGAUUAAUACUGUAUUUAAUAACUCAAGGUAACAGCGGAAUUGCUUUUCUUUCAAAUAUAAGACUGCUAAGAUGGCAGAUGGACACUAAAAUACUACUGCUGAAAUAGCAAGUCGUAGUAUAACUUUAUCUGAAAAUCACGUAAUUGUGAGGAUUUCCAUAACUUCUUUGUUUCCUUAUUUUAUUCUGCUUCUUUUUCUGCCUUGUGGUCCUUGCUUAAUUCCUAAUUUUGUUACAUUCUCAAAGUUGUCCUUUGGCAUCUUCUAAGCUUUUGAUAAAGCAGUUAACAUUAUUAGCAGUUAACAGCUAACACUAUCACUAUUGUAUUUUUUUCUUUUGCUUUUUCUUUCAAAGAUAUGUUCUAAAUAACAGCUGAUGGGGAAAGGAGACAAAGUUGACUAAACGGAAGUAAUCAGUUACCUUUAGCAUGCUGGUGGUUUCUUGUUAAAGAUUCCAGAAAAUACCCAAAGCAUAAAAGCAUAAACAUCUCUUUGAUAUCUUAUGAUUAAUAAAAUAAUUAUUGUCAAGUAUAGGUCUAAGUGUUAAUGAUCACCGGAGAUUAUUAUUAUUAAUUUUUGAGACAGAGUCUAGCUCUGUCGCCCAGGCUGGAGUGCAACUCCGUCUCAAACAAACAAACAAAAAAACCCAGAAACAGUUUUUCUAAAUGAAAAGUUUAGAAUUUUAAAAAUUGUAUAGAAAACACAAGCAGGCUGCCGCUUGUAAGAGAAUGCUGCGUGCACAACUAUUUCAGCAAUUUAACAGGUGCAUGAAUGAACUUAUUUUCCAAAGGAAAAACAAGUGUAACAAAAAUAACUUGACUAUAGACGGAUGGUUAAGAUGGAGACUAUGCUGACAAAUGGAGAGCCUACAGUAUAAAGCAUUUCAAAUAAAUUUCUUAGUCUGUUUAUAACAAUGACAGACCACUGCACAAGAGAAAUGUGCAUGUAGCUCCCUUAAAGUAUAAAGGUGAAAAGGUCAUUUAAAGGGUCGAUAUGUUAAAUCAAAACUUAAACCACAACCUACGGAUUUUUUAAAAAUCACACGCAUUAAUGUUCAGUAUUUAGUAAACUGUUGAGAAAAGCAAGUUGGAUACACCGUUCCCACAGAAAUCUUCACAUCCCUUCCCAUUUCCCUAGUAGCCGGCGCCCCGCUCCCAGGAGUCUCAUCCACACCACUAUUCCUCGGCCUCUCCGCCCUAGCCCCCAAUAUCCUCGGGUUCCUAUUUUUCUGGCCUCCACCCCCACUCAAGGAUCCCAAUGAGGUUCUAACUCUACAAUUGCAGCCUGUGUGCCCCAAGAAAUAAAGCUGCUCCCCUGCCCCAGUAGAGAACGCCCGAGAGGCGGGAGCGAGGCACCAAAG